GGGGAUGUAGCUCAGCUGGUUUAGAGUGCCUGCCUGUCACGCAGGAGGUCGCGGGUUCGAGCCCCGUCAUUCCCGCCA
Molecule: transfer RNA, 78 nt
Filed under: Alphaproteobacteria bacterium
Lineage: Bacteria; Pseudomonadati; Pseudomonadota; Alphaproteobacteria
Description: tRNA-Asp
Rfam family: tRNA
About the family: Transfer RNA (tRNA) molecules are approximately 80 nucleotides in length. Their secondary structure includes four short double-helical elements and three loops (D, anti-codon, and T loops).
Source: RNAcentral